This is a small nuclear RNA of Bombyx mandarina (wild silkworm), 161 nucleotides long. The record is from RefSeq and is a predicted model, not a curated record. NCBI's taxonomy places the organism in Eukaryota, Metazoa, Arthropoda, Insecta, Lepidoptera, Bombycidae.
AUAAUUAAGUGUCGUAGGGGAUACCGUGAUCAUGCGGGUGGUUCCCCCAGGGCGAGGCUGCCCCAUUGCACUGCGGAGUGGUUGACACUUGCGAUUAUUAUUAUUUUUAGCAAUAAAAAAUCAACAAAAAAUGUAUACCCGAAUAAUUAUUUUCUUUAUAC